UACGAAGGGGGCUAGCGUUGCUCGGAAUCACUGGGCGUAAAGCGCACGUAGGCGGAUCUUUAAGUCAGGGGUGAAAUCCUGGAGCUCAACUCCAGAACUGCCUUUGAUACUGAGGGUCUUGAGUCCGGGAGAGGUGAGUGGAACUGCGAGUGUAGAGGUGAAAUUCGUAGAUAUUCGCAAGAACACCAGUGGCGAAGGCGGCUCACUGGCCCGGUACUGACGCUGAGGUGCGAAAGCGUGGGGAGCGAAUGGG
RNAcentral lists this ribosomal RNA (253 nucleotides) under uncultured bacterium. RNAcentral's name for it is "partial 16S ribosomal RNA". It matches the Rfam family "Bacterial small subunit ribosomal RNA", at positions 524 to 776 of the family's 1533-position model. The record is from RNAcentral.